RNAcentral lists this ribosomal RNA (579 nucleotides) under uncultured bacterium. Its description in RNAcentral is "bacterial SSU rRNA". It matches the Rfam family "Bacterial small subunit ribosomal RNA", at positions 463 to 1040 of the family's 1533-position model. The record is from RNAcentral.
GACACUUGGACGUUACUCACACAAUUAGCGCAGGCUAACUCUGUGCCAGCAGCCGCGGUAAUACAGAGGGUGCGAGCGUUAAUCGGAUUUACUGGGCGUAAAGCGUGCGUAGGCGGCUUUUUAAGUCGGAUGUGAAAUCCCCGAGCUUAACUUGGGAAUUGCAUUCGAUACUGGGAAGCUAGAGUAUGGGAGAGGAUGGUAGAAUUCCAGGUGUAGCGGUGAAAUGCGUAGAGAUCUGGAGGAAUACCGAUGGCGAAGGCAGCCAUCUGGCCUAAUACUGACGCUGAGGUACGAAAGCAUGGGGAGCAAACAGGAUUAGAUACCCUGGUAGUCCAUGCCGUAAACGAUGUCUACUAGCCGUUGGGGCCUUUGAGGCUUUAGUGGCGCAGCUAACGCGAUAAGUAGACCGCCUGGGGAGUACGGUCGCAAGACUAAAACUCAAAUGAAUUGACGGGGGCCCGCACAAGCGGUGGAGCAUGUGGUUUAAUUCGAUGCAACGCGAAGAAGCUUACCUGGCCUUGACAUACUAGAAACUUUUCCAGAGAUGGAUUGGUGCCUUCGGGGAUCUAGAUACGGGUG